Molecule: long non-coding RNA, 572 nt
Organism: Mirounga angustirostris (Northern elephant seal)
Lineage: Eukaryota; Metazoa; Chordata; Mammalia; Carnivora; Phocidae
Exons: 3
Source: RefSeq, a predicted model, not a curated record
UGGGGCUGCCUCAGGGCUGGGCCCAGGGCCCCGAGGUCCUAGGGACAUCGCUUUCUGUUUAUUUUCUGCCUGGCUUCUGCACGCACUGUGGUUUCCACUUGGAAGUUCUGCAGUGGGAACUGUGGGGCCUGCUCUGGGGGCUGAGCUGCUUCUGUGGGAAAGUUUGGGUUCUGCCGACAGCUCACAGCCGCCGCCAAGACCCUAGUCCCAGAAUUCCCACGCCGUGGGCCAUGGGCUCUGCUCCUGCAGCCUCUGUAUCACCUGGGCCGGCAACCCUAUGAAGGAGGGCUGUUACUAAUCCCAUGUUGCAGCUGGAAAAAUGAGGCACAGAGAGGUCAAGUAACUUACCCACAGCCACACAGCUGACACAGUGGAGCUCGGCAGCCAUCUUGGACCACGAGGUGACCCUGCGGAAAGCAGGGCUGAGGAUGAAGCCAGCAGAGAGAGAAGGAGCCUGGGAUACUGAGGACAUGGUGGAGCCAUCACACCAACCCUGGGCCACUGACCUCCAGAUAUGGAAGAGUAUUCGACACAACUAAUCUGUUUAGGUCAUUAAAAUUGGGUCUCUGGUA